Sinocyclocheilus anshuiensis is the source of this 102-nucleotide long non-coding RNA. RefSeq lists it as uncharacterized. The transcript has 2 exons. The record is from RefSeq and is a predicted model, not a curated record. NCBI's taxonomy places the organism in Eukaryota, Metazoa, Chordata, Actinopteri, Cypriniformes, Cyprinidae.
UGUAUUUCUUUUUUGAUCUGACUGAUCAUAGGCCUCACUGAUCUGAGCUUAUGCACCUCAGUUAUUGAGUGAACUUUGCCAACAUUAUCCACAAAUUAUGCU